UUUUGACCUCGGAUCAGGUAGGGAUACCCGCUGAACUUAAGCAUAUCAAAAGCCGGAGGAAACC
Molecule: ribosomal RNA, 64 nt
Filed under: Curvularia geniculata
Lineage: Eukaryota; Fungi; Ascomycota; Dothideomycetes; Pleosporales; Pleosporaceae
Description: partial 28S ribosomal RNA
Source: RNAcentral